RNAcentral lists this long non-coding RNA (949 nucleotides) under Mus pahari (shrew mouse). RNAcentral's name for it is "predicted gene, 26820 (MGP_PahariEiJ_G0005821.1)". Lineage: Eukaryota; Metazoa; Chordata; Mammalia; Rodentia; Muridae. The record is from RNAcentral.
GUCAGUCACAGCAGAACUUACACAGAUGGAAGGAAAAGAGAUUCCUUACAACAAAGGUUAGCACGCUGCAGGGUUAAAAACCUCAUUUUAAUAGAGAAGCAAACCAACCAGCUAGAGUUUCUCAUCCGUGCUAUUUGAUGGUUGGGUAGACCUAGUAAAAUCAUUAAAUAAUAGUUGACUCUGUCAAAUUAGAACUAAGAUAGCUAUUUUUAUAGAUCAAACUGUAUUUUUUUAAAUCAAAGAAAUGGCUUUCAUUUUCUUGAGUUUUUGGUAGCGAUUUGAUUUUUAAAAACAUCCUUGAGAUUAUGGUAAUUACGUCAUUUCCCACCCUCAUCUGCCCAAACAUGACCUGAGCACUGACAACAGAAAUCCACUCCCUAUGUGGAAGGAAUCGACACCUUGUGUGUGGAAUAAUCGACACCCUAAGCUCAGGAGACUCAACCGGAGACAAAGAACUGCAGAACUGCAAGCAACCAAGGAAUGCUGACAGCGGGAGAAAGUGUUCCCCCGGGAAGAGCACAGAAUUGUAAAAGGCAACUUUUCAGAAAACAAAGUUAGGAAUAUCUUGCCUUGGUUCCCUUUCAAACUUCCAUGAUGCCCGAGUAUUGUUUCCUUCAUUUUCUUAUUUGAGAAAUUAUUACUGAGAAGCAUUCCAUAUGGAAUAAAGAUUGAGUGGCUCUCAGUCUUGUAAGGCAAAAACAUCUGGAGUUACUCAGCCAUUAAUAAAAAAACUCCAGCGCAGUUCAGAAAUAAAUGCAGCACUAGGUGGCAGUGGAAGAUCGUGUCUCAGUGGCACUCCCUGCUCUUCGUUUUCUCCUAUAAUUCUCAAGGGGAAAGAGGGGAGCUGCGGGGGGAAUCAUGGCUACAGAGGGGUAGAGAUACCAUUCUGAUGUCUCUAGCCUCUCUUGCAGCUACAAGGAGGCAUCUGAUCCAGUUUGGGCCAAUAAAU